CGCUGUCUGCAGGAUUCGAACCUACGCGGAGAGACUCCAAUCGAUCUCAAGUGUACAUACUGUACCCAGUUCUAGUCGAUCUCCUUAACCACUCGGACAAGACAGC
RNAcentral lists this transfer RNA (106 nucleotides) under Chloropicon primus. RNAcentral's name for it is "tRNA-Ser". The record is from RNAcentral. Lineage: Eukaryota; Viridiplantae; Chlorophyta; Chloropicophyceae; Chloropicales; Chloropicaceae.